Molecule: non-coding RNA, 5910 nt
Organism: Rattus norvegicus (Norway rat)
Lineage: Eukaryota; Metazoa; Chordata; Mammalia; Rodentia; Muridae
Source: RefSeq, a predicted model, not a curated record
AUACUAUACUGUAUCUGUCCUAUGGCUGGUAGCUCAGUGGGACGGGAUGCCUCAGCAUGGGCCAUCAAUGGUACCCCCCUCCACAUCAUCAUACCGUGCCUCUACGAACAUAUUGAAAGACCCCAGCUUAGCAGCAGUAACGCCAUUUUGCAAGGCUAUAUUUAAGAUGACUGAUUCAGAGAAAGGUUAGAACACUGAGUACACAGCGGCUGCCAAACAAGAUGUGUUUGGUUGAAGGCCUGGCAACAGGAGGACUGCCGUUGAGCACCUGACAAUGAGAAAAGCCCCGGGAGAGGUCCCACACCCUGGUGGGGGGCCGAGUCAGCCGUUAUGUUCCAAGAAGGUAGCUAAGAAACUUGCCCCCGGGCUGAACCCUUGCCACAUUAGAAUCCACCAAUUAUAUCCCUGUAACCAUGCAUCUGCUUCUGUAUGCUUGCUUCUGCUCCCCAAAAUCCUAUAAAAAGUCCAUCCUUGGUUCCGUGGGGCGUGCCAGUCCCCCGAGUGACUGAAGCGCCCGCAGGUGCCUGUGCCUGUGUAUCCCGACAAUAAACCAAAUCCUCUUGCUGAUUGCAUCCUGUGGUGUCUCGGUCUGGUCUUUAAAGUUGGAGGGUCUCCAUCCCGAGGGAAAGUUCUCCCUGAGAGCUUUUCAUUUGGUGCAUUGGCCGGGAAAGGAGAUCCUCCACCCAGGGACCACCGACCACCCACUGGGAGGUAAGCCGGCCGGCGUCUGUCUGUCUGUCUGAUUUUGUCUCGUUCUGCCUUAUUCUGUCUGUUCUGUGAGCGCUCAGCCAGGUCUGUUCUGUGAGCGCUCAGCCAGGUCUGUUCUGUGAGCGCUCAGCCAGGUUGUUUGGAAUUUGGGCGGGACGAAGAAGGAGCUGACGAGCUCGGACUUCUCGCCCCGCAGCCCUUGAAGACGUUCCAAGGGUGUUAGGGGCCCGACUUUUCGGGGCCCAAUCUGGGACUCUGGUUGGAGGAGAAAGAUCUGGACUAACGGCACCUCUGUCUGUAUUUUUGGCUUUCAGAGGGCCCCGGACCUUUGCCACCUCCAUCUGACUUUUUGCUUUCAGUUUGGUACCAAAGCCGUGCAGCACGCCUGUCUGUUGUUUGUUUGACUGUUGGUGUUGUUUGUUUUCUCUGUGUUCUAAUCUUCCUUAGAACUAACAUGGGACAGUCCCUAACAAUGCCCCUAAGUCUCACUCUUGAUCAUUGGGAAGACGUCCACGACCGGGCACACAACCAGUCCGUCGAGGUUAAAAAAGGAAAAUGGCAGACUCUCUACACAUCCAAGUGGCCCACUUUCGGAGCGGGAUGGCCAGUGAAUGGCACAUUUAAUAAGAUCAUUAUUUUACAGGUUAAAGAUCGGGUCGUCCACGGACAUCCUGACCAGGUUCCUUAUAUUAUCACUUGAGAGAGUCUCGCCUUAAAACCCCCCUCCUGGGCGGAACCCUUUGUGGACCCGAAUUGGCCUCCCCUCAACCCCCAGCCUGUCCCCUCGGCCCCGCCCGGUCCGCCGGCCACGUCUUCCUCUCUCUACCUUUGUGAAAUCAGAGCCUUCUAAGAAACCUGUCCUCCCGGCAGACCCAAACUCCCCUCUCAUAGAUCUUCUCUCUGACAGGCCCGGCUGAAACGGAGGAGGUAGAGCCGCCGGCCAGAUCAGUUGCCGGGCCACAGUCUGAUAAGGGUUUCUCCCCUGUCACAGGGAGAUUGCGCAAUAAGCGCGAGGUGAUGCCAGAUUCAACCUCCCAGGCUUUCCCACUUAGACAGGGAACCGGUGGCCAGACCCAAUACUGGCCGUUUUCAGCAGCUGACAUUUACAAUUAGAAACAACACAACCCUUCUUUCUCCAAAGAUCCGGUGGCACUCACUGACCUAAUAGAAUCUGUUUUACUUACCCACCAGCCUACUUGGGAUGACUGACAACAGCUCUUACAGGCCCUUUUAACCUCAGAAAAAAAAAAACAAAGAGUGUUCCUAGAGGCCAGAAAGCAUGUUCUGGGAGAUGAUGGGCGUCCCACCCAGCUGCCUGAGGACCAAACUGGGAUUUUAAUACAGCUGAAGGUAAGGGACACCUAUGCCUUUAUCGCCAGUUGCUUCUAGCGGGUCUCCGAGGGGCUAUACGACGCCCUACUAAUUUGGCUCAGGUAAAACAGGUAUUAUAGGAAGCAGGGGAAACUCCCUCCGCCUUUCUAGAGAGACUUAAGGAGGCCUACCGUAUGUACACUCCCUAUGACCCAGAUGACCCAGGACAAAUGACGAGUGUCUCUAUGUCCUUCAUCUGGCAGGCUGCUCCAGAUAUCAGGACUAAGUUACAGAGGUUAGAAAAUUUGCAGGGCUAUACAUUACAGGAUUUACUUAAAGAAGCUGAAAAGAUUUUUAAUAAGAGAGAGAUAAAAAAGAAACAAAGAAUUGAGUCGAAUCUUGGCCGCCGUAGUUCAGGGCCAAGAAAGGAAGAGAGAUAGGGGGGAGCUCGAAAGGGGCUGAAGCUGGAUAAAGAUCAAUGUGCCUAUUACAAAGAGAAAGGGCACUGGGCCAGAGAGUGCCCCAAGAAGCCUGGCGGACCCCGAAAGCCUCGACCACGAACCUCCCUCUUGGCUCUAGAUAAAGAUUAGGGAGGUCAGGGCCAGGAGCCCCACCCCUGAGCCCAGGGUAACGCUUAAAGUUGGGGGGCAGCCGGUUACUUUCCUGGUAGACACAGGAGCCCAGCAUUCAGUCCUCACCCGAGCUUCAGGACAACUCAGCGACCGGACGGCCUGGGUACAAAGAGCUACUGGUGAGAAACAAUACUGAUGGACUACGGACCGCCGGGUUCAGCUGGCUACCGGUAAGGUGACCCAUUCCUUCUUACAUGUUCUGGACUGCCCGUACCCUCUGCUGGGCCGUGACCUGCUCACCAAGCUAAAAGCACAAAUUCAUUUUGAGGAAGGAGGGGCCCGAAUAACUGGCCCCCACGGAACUCCCCUUCAAGUUCUAACCCUACAAUUAGAGGAUGAAUAUAGACUAUAUGAACCGGGACAGGACAAGCCACAAUCCCUAGAAAUAGACACUUGGGUCACGGAUUUUCCACUGGCUUGGGCAGAGACUGGUGGGAUGGGGUUGGCACUCCAACAGCCCCCCUUAAUUAUACAGUUAAAGGCCACUACAACUCCAGUCUCCAUAAAACAAUACCCCCUGUCACAUGAAGCUUAUCAAGGUAUAAGGCCUCACAUUACGAGGCUUCUAGAUCAAGGCAUCCUAGUCCCCUGCCGGUCACCUUGGAAUACGCCUCUUCUGCCUGUUAAGAAACCCGGCACUGGAGAUUAUAGGCCAAUACAAGACUUGAGAGAGGUCAACAAGAGGAUAGAAGAUAUUCAUCUGACUGUUCCAAACCCUUACAAUUUGCUCAGUAACUGUUCAUCGAUGAGAAACAGGGGUAUGCUAAAGGGGUCCUAACACAAAGGUUGGGACCCUGGAAACGCCCUGUGGCCUACCUGUCUAAGAAAUUGGACCCUGUGGCCUCCGGCUGGCCACCGUGCCUAAAGAUGGUGGCUGCUAUUGCUGUCCUGAUCAAGGAUGCUAGAAAAUUGACUUUGGGACAGCCACUCACCAUCCUAGCACCCCACGCAGUGGAGGCCUUGGUAAAGCAGCCCCCAGACCGCUGGCUCUCUAAUUCCCGCAUGAGAGGGAGAGCGAAAGGCUGGAGCUGCGGUCACUAUGGAGGACAAAGUGAUUUGGGCGAAAGCCCUGCCUGCUGGUACCUCCGCACAACGGGCUGAACUCAUUGCCUUGACUCAGGCGCUCAAGAUGACAAAAGGUAAGAGGCUAAAUAUAUAUACAGACAGCCGUUAUGCCUUUGCCACGGCACACAUCCACGGGGAGAUCUACCGGAGGCGGGGGCUGCUCACAUCUGAGGAUAAAGAUAUUAAAAAUAAGGCUAAAAUUCUGGCCCUCUUAGAAGCCCUAUUCUUGCCCAAAAGACUGAGUAUUAUACAUUGUCCAGGACACCAGAAAGGGCACAACCCAGAGGCACGAGGAAACCGGCUGGCCAAUGCCACAGCGCGAGAAGCGGCCAUGAGCAAACAAAUCUUGCCCUUAAAUAGCCCAGACCAACCCACGCCCCCACCAGUGGGACAAACUAGUUGGGUUUAUGCCCAUGAGGACAUAGAGCUCCUAGAAAAAAUGGGGGCCAUCUACCACCCUCAACUAACAAAGAAAAGACAAUUAUGCCAAUAAAAAUGACUUUUGAAUUGAUCUCCUUUUUACACAAAUUAACCCAUUUGGGGUUUAAGAAGAUGAAAACCUUACUAGAUCGAGAAGAGAUAAAUCUGUGUUUUUUAAAUCGGGACAAAGCGAUACAAAAGGUGACUGAGAGUUACAAAGCGUGCGCUCAGGUUAACCCGGGAAGGACCAUGAUUGGACAAGGAGUUCGUCCUAGGAGACACCGUCCCGACAUCCAUUGGGAAAUUGAUUUUACUGAAAUUAAACCAGGUACAAGUAUCUCCUAGUGUUUGUAGACACCUUCUCAGGAUGGGUCGAAGCCUUCCCCACAAAACACGAGACUACAAAAAUGGUCACCAAGGAGCUCCUCGAGGAAAUCUUUCCCAGGUAUGGCAUGCCUCAAGCGUUGGGGUCGGACAACGGGCCCGCUUUCGUCUCCCAAGUAAGUCAGUUGGUGGCCAAAUUGCUGGAGAUUGAUUGAAAAUUACAUUGUGCCUAUAGACCCCAGAGUUCAGGUCAGGUAGAACACAUGAAUAGAACAAUUAAGGAGACUUUAUCCAAACUUACGCUUGCAACUGGCUCAAAGGAUUGGGUGGCCCUCCUUCCCCUAGUUCUAUAUCGGGCCCAGAAUACCCAGGGCCCCCAUGGUCUAACUCCUUUUGAAAUAAUGUAUGGAACACCACCCCCAUUUGUCCAUUUCUUUGAUUCAAACAUUGCUGAUUUUGCUGACAGCCCUUCUCUGAGGGCCCAUUUACAGGCCCUACAGAUUGUGCAGAGAGACGUCUGGAGACCUUUGGCCGCUGCUUACCAGGACAAGCUUGAGCAUCCGGUGGUGCCACACCCGUUCCAGAUUGGAGACACCAUGUGGGUGCGCAGACACCAGACCAAGAAUCGCAAGCCACGGUAGAAAGGACCCUACACCGUCCUCCUGACUACCCCGACCGCCCUAAAGGUAGACGGAGUCUCGGCUUAGAUCCACGCACCACACGUCAAGGCAGUCCGGUCUGAGAAAUUGACUAAUCACAACACUACACCCCAGACAUGGAGAGUUCAGCGCACUCCAAACCCCUUAAAGUUAAAACUCCUACGUGGCUCCUCCUAGCCCUUUUGUGGCCUAGAGUCAGUGGGGGAAUAAGCCCCCACCAGACAGAAAUUUCUUGACCAAGUCGAGUGAAAGAUUUCACUCAAAGUUAACAAAAAAAAAUGGGGGAAUGAAAGACCCCAGCUUAGCAGCAGUAACGCCAUUUUGCAAGGCUAUAUUUAAGAUGACUGGUUCAGAGAAAGGUUAGAACACUGAGUACACAGCGGCUGCCAAACAAGAUGUGUUUGGUUGAAGGCCUGGCAACAGGAGGACUGCCGUUGAGCACCUGACAAUGAGAAAAGCCCUGGGAGAGGUCCCACACCCUUAUGUUCCAAGAAGGUAGCUAAAAAACUUGCCCCCGGGCUGAACCCUUGGGGGGCCGAGUCAGUCCUUAUGUUUCAGGAAGGUAGCUAGGAAACUUGCCCCCGGGCUGAACCCUUGCCACAUUAGAAUCCACCAAUUAUAUCCCUGUAACCAUGCAUCUGCUUCUGUAUGCUUGCUUCUGCUCCCCAAAAUCCUAUAAAAAGCCCAUCCUUGGUUCCGUGGGGCGCGCCAGUCCCCCGAGUGACUGAAGCGCCCGCAGGUGCCUGUGCCUGUGUAUCCCGACAAUAAACCAAAUCCUCUUGCUGAUUGCA